This 361-nucleotide ribosomal RNA is filed under the name uncultured bacterium. RNAcentral describes it as "bacterial SSU rRNA". It matches the Rfam family "Bacterial small subunit ribosomal RNA", at positions 26 to 412 of the family's 1533-position model. The record is from RNAcentral.
AGAGCGAACGCUGGCGGCAUGCUUAACACAUGCAAGUCGCAUGGGCAGGUCAACCUGUCAGUUGCGGACGGGUGACUAACGCGUAGGAAUCUAUCCUUGGGUGGGGCACAACCGUGGGAAACUACGGCUAAUACCGCAUGAUCCCUGAGGGGCAAAGGCGAAAGUCGCCUGAGGAGGACCUGCGUCUGAUUAGGUAGUUGUGUGGGUAGAGGCCUACCAAGCCUGCGAUCAGUAGCUGGUCUGAGAGGAUGAUCAGCCACACUGGGCUGAGACACGGCCCAGACUCCUACGGGAGGCAGCAGUGGGGAAUAUUGGACAAUGGGCGAAUAGCCUGAUCCAGCAAUGUCGCGUGGAUGAAAAA